Molecule: long non-coding RNA, 302 nt
Filed under: Capsicum annuum
Lineage: Eukaryota; Viridiplantae; Streptophyta; Magnoliopsida; Solanales; Solanaceae
Description: long non-coding RNA (CANN_LNC015955)
Source: RNAcentral
UAAAAAUAUGAAAAACAUGCUUUUGAAGUAAAGUUAUGAUUUUUCCUUUCUUUUUGAAAACCCAUUUUAGGGGUCCAUUUUGACCCUGAAUAAAAAAUAAUUAAUAUGGAUGUCGUUGAUUUUAUUUGAUGCGCAGAUUCCAUAUUUGAGUUUUUAGAGGAGUUCGAUAUUAUUCGUGGAAAGUAAGAUCAUGGGUUCAAAGUGUAGCGGACAAAUUUUGACUUUUGAGGUAGGUUAUGACUUAACUCUUUUAGACUGGGUUGAGUAAUAAAUGAUGGCACAAAAUGCAUGUUAAGGGUGGG